GAUGAACGCUGGCGGCGUGCCUAACACAUGCAAGUCGAGCGCGAUUAAGUGGAGUGGAGACUUCGGUCAAAGCGAAGCUUAUGAAAGCGGCGGACGGGUGAGUAACGCGUGGGCAACCUGCCCCAUACAGAGGGAUAGCCACUGGAAACGGUGAUUAAUACCUCAUGAGUCAGUAACAUCGCAUGAUGUAGCUGACAAAGAUUUAUCGGUAUGGGAUGGGCCCGCGUCUGAUUAGCUAGUUGGUGAGGUAACGGCUCACCAAGGCGACGAUCAGUAGCCGACCUGAGAGGGUGAUCGGCCACACUGGAACUGAGACACGGGUCCAGACUCCUACGGGAGGCAGCAGUGGGGAAUAUUGCACAAUGGGCGCAAGCCUGAUGCAGCAACGCCGCGUGAGUGAUGAAGGCCUCGGUUGUAAAC
RNAcentral lists this ribosomal RNA (420 nucleotides) under uncultured bacterium. Its description in RNAcentral is "bacterial SSU rRNA". It matches the Rfam family "Bacterial small subunit ribosomal RNA", at positions 28 to 430 of the family's 1533-position model. The record is from RNAcentral.